Molecule: ribosomal RNA, 433 nt
Filed under: uncultured bacterium
Lineage: Bacteria
Description: bacterial SSU rRNA
Rfam family: Bacterial small subunit ribosomal RNA
Source: RNAcentral
CAGGCCUAACACAUGCAAGUCGAGCGCCCAGCAAUGGGAGCGGCAGACGGGUGAGUAACGCGUGGGGAUCUGCCCAAUGGUACGGAAUAACCCAGGGAAACUUGGAUUAAUACCGUAUGUGCCCUUCGGGGGAAAGAUUUAUCGCCAUUGGAUGAACCCGCGUCGGAUUAGCUAGUUGGUGUGGUAAAGGCGCACCAAGGCGACGAUCCGUAGCUGGUCUGAGAGGAUGAUCAGCCACACUGGGACUGAGACACGGCCCAGACUCCUACGGGAGGCAGCAGUGGGGAAUAUUGGACAAUGGGCGCAAGCCUGAUCCAGCCAUGCCGCGUGUGUGAUGAAGGCCUUAGGGUUGUAAAGCACUUUCGCCGGUGAAGAUAAUGACGGUAACCGGAGAAGAAGCCCCGGCUAACUUCGUGCCAGCAGCCGCGGUAAU